GUCUUCCCUGGGCCUUCAAGGUCCCUGAAGGAACGUUUAAGACUAAGACGUUGAUAGGCUGGGUGUGUAAGUGCAGCGAUGCAUUGAGCUAACCAGUACUAAUGAUCCGUGAGGCUUAACCUUACAACACCGAAGGUGUUU
RNAcentral lists this ribosomal RNA (141 nucleotides) under Serratia marcescens. Its description in RNAcentral is "partial 23S ribosomal RNA". The stretch from base 1 to 123 matches the Rfam family "Bacterial large subunit ribosomal RNA", at positions 2808 to 2925 of the family's 2925-position model. Lineage: Bacteria; Pseudomonadati; Pseudomonadota; Gammaproteobacteria; Enterobacterales; Yersiniaceae. The record is from RNAcentral.